GAUGAACGCUGGCGGCGUGCUUAACACAUGCAAGUCGAACGGACGGGCCCUGCUCUUGCUGGGUGCUCGAGUGGCGAACGGGUGAGUAACACGCGAGUAUCCUGUCCCUGUCUUUGGGAUAACACUACGAAACUGGGGCUAUUAUCCGAUAGGAGCUCUUGCUGCACGGUGGGGGUUGGAAAGUUACGGCGGUUCGGGAUCGACUCGCUGCUUAUCCGCUUGUUUGUCGGGUAGUUGCUUUCCAAGGUUUUGACGGAUAGCCCGCCUGAGAGGGUGACCGGCCACAUUAGGACUAAGGUACGGCGCAGACUCCUACGGGAGGCAGCGGUGGGGAGUAUUGCGCAGUGGGCGGAAGCGUGAUGCAGCGACGCCGCGUGCGGGAUACCGGCCUACGAGUUGUAAACCGCUGUCGCCUGUGACGAGGCGUGAGUGACGGUAAUGAGUAAGAAAGCACCGGCUAACUACGUG
RNAcentral lists this ribosomal RNA (468 nucleotides) under uncultured bacterium. RNAcentral describes it as "partial 16S ribosomal RNA". It matches the Rfam family "Bacterial small subunit ribosomal RNA", at positions 28 to 507 of the family's 1533-position model. The record is from RNAcentral.